UACUUAGAAACUAUAGGCCAGUAAGAGAC
RNAcentral lists this non-coding RNA (29 nucleotides) under Mus musculus (house mouse). The record is from RNAcentral. Lineage: Eukaryota; Metazoa; Chordata; Mammalia; Rodentia; Muridae.